RNAcentral lists this ribosomal RNA (253 nucleotides) under uncultured bacterium. RNAcentral describes it as "partial 16S ribosomal RNA". It matches the Rfam family "Bacterial small subunit ribosomal RNA", at positions 524 to 776 of the family's 1533-position model. The record is from RNAcentral.
UACGGAGGGGGCUAGCGUUGUUCGGAAUUACUGGGCGUAAAGCGUACGUAGGCGGCUUUGUAAGUUAGAGGUGAAAGCCCGGGGCUCAACCCCGGAAUUGCCUUUAAGACUGCAUCGCUUGAACGUCGGAGAGGUGAGUGGAAUUCCGAGUGUAGAGGUGAAAUUCGUAGAUAUUCGGAAGAACACCAGUGGCGAAGGCGGCUCACUGGACCAAUACUGACGCUCAGGUGCGAAAGCGUGGGGAGCAAACAGG